RNAcentral lists this ribosomal RNA (253 nucleotides) under uncultured prokaryote. RNAcentral's name for it is "partial 16S ribosomal RNA". It matches the Rfam family "Bacterial small subunit ribosomal RNA", at positions 524 to 776 of the family's 1533-position model. The record is from RNAcentral.
UACGUAGGGGGCGAGCGUUGUCCGGAUUUAUUGGGUGUAAAGGGCAUGUAGGUGGUCUUGUAAGUCAAAGGUGAAAUGGCCCGGCUUAACCAGGUCAUUGCCUUUGAAACUGCCGGACUUGAGUACGGAAGAGGAAAGCGGAAUUCCCAGUGUAGCGGUGAAAUGCGUAGAUAUUGGGAGGAACACCGGUGGCGAAGGCGGCUUUCUGGUCCGAAACUGACACUGAGAUGCGAAAGCCAGGGGAGCAAACGGG